AUUGAACGCUGGCGGCAUGCCUUACACAUGCAAGUCGAACGGCAGCACGGGUGCUUGCACCUGGUGGCGAGUGGCGAACGGGUGAGUAAUAUAUCGGAACGUACCUUAUUGUGGGGGAUAACGCAGCGAAAGCUGUGCUAAUACCGCAUAAUCCCUAAGGGGGAAAGCGGGGGACCGUAAGGCCGCGCGCAAGUAGAGCGGCCGAUACCUGAUUAGCUAGUGGGUGAGGUAAAGGCCCACCAAGGCAACGAUCAGUAGCUGGUCUGAGAGGACGAUCAGCCACACUGGGACUGAGACACGGCCCAGACUCCUACGGGAGGCAGCAGUGGGGAAUUUUGGACAAUGGGGGCAACCCUGAUCCAGCAAUGCCGCGUGAGUAAAGAAGGCCUUCGGGUUGUAAAGCUCUUUUGUCAGGGAAGAAACAGCAGCUCUAACACAGUAUGCGAAUGACGGUACCUGAAGAAUAAGCACCGGCUAACUACGUGCCAGCCGCCGCCGUAA
This 501-nucleotide ribosomal RNA is filed under the name uncultured bacterium. RNAcentral describes it as "partial 16S ribosomal RNA". It matches the Rfam family "Bacterial small subunit ribosomal RNA", at positions 30 to 523 of the family's 1533-position model. The record is from RNAcentral.